RNAcentral lists this ribosomal RNA (302 nucleotides) under uncultured bacterium. RNAcentral's name for it is "partial 16S ribosomal RNA". It matches the Rfam family "Bacterial small subunit ribosomal RNA", at positions 508 to 807 of the family's 1533-position model. The record is from RNAcentral.
GCAGUCGCCGCGGGAAUACGAAGGGGGCUAGCGUUGUUCGGAAUUACUGGGCGUAAAGCGCACGUAGGCGGACAUUUAAGUCAGGGGUGAAAUCCCGGGGCUCAACCCCGGAACUGCCUUUGAUACUGGGUGUCUAGAGUAUGGAAGAGGUGAGUGGAAUUCCGAGUGUAGAGGUGAAAUUCGUAGAUAUUCGGAGGAACACCAGUGGCGAAGGCGGCUCACUGGUCCAUUACUGACGCUGAGGUGCGAAAGCGUGGGGAGCAAACAGGAUUAGAUACCCGGGUAGUCCCUGUCUCUUAUAC